CCUACGGGGGGCAGCAGUAAGGAAUAUUGGUCAAUGGAGGGAACUCUGAACCAGCCAUGCCGCGUGCAGGAAGACGGCCCUCUGGGUUGUAAACUGCUUUUAUUCGGGAAUAAACCUAUUUACGUGUAAAUAGCUGAAUGUACCGAAGGAAUAAGGAUCGGCUAACUCCGUGCCAGCAGCCGCGGUAAUACGGAGGAUCCAAGCGUUAUCCGGAUUAAUUGGUGUUAAAGGGUGCUUAGGCGGCAGGGUUGAAAGACGGUGGCUCAACCAUCGCAGUGCCCUUGAUACUGAUGAGCUUGAAUGGACUAGAGGUAGGCGGAAUGUGACAAGUAGCGGUGAAAUGCAUAGAUAUGUCACAGAACACCGAUUGCGAAGGCAGCUUACUAUGGUUUAAUUGACGCUGAGGCACGAAAGCGUGGGGAUCAAACAGGAUUAGAUACCCGAGUAGUC
RNAcentral lists this ribosomal RNA (450 nucleotides) under uncultured bacterium. RNAcentral's name for it is "partial 16S ribosomal RNA". It matches the Rfam family "Bacterial small subunit ribosomal RNA", at positions 338 to 795 of the family's 1533-position model. The record is from RNAcentral.